AGCCUUCUGCAUCCGUUCUGAGAUUUCGUCAAACAUCAGACCACAAGGGCCGAUUAGACUUACAUGAUAAAUGAAGCG
Non-coding RNA from Schistosoma haematobium, 78 nucleotides. Lineage: Eukaryota; Metazoa; Platyhelminthes; Trematoda; Strigeidida; Schistosomatidae. The record is from Rfam.